RNAcentral lists this ribosomal RNA (774 nucleotides) under uncultured Neocallimastigales. Its description in RNAcentral is "partial large subunit ribosomal RNA". It matches the Rfam family "Eukaryotic large subunit ribosomal RNA", at positions 22 to 628 of the family's 3401-position model. The record is from RNAcentral. Lineage: Eukaryota; Fungi; Neocallimastigomycota; Neocallimastigomycetes; Neocallimastigales.
GUACACGCUGUGACUAGCAUAUCAAUAAGCGGAGGAAAAGAAACUAACAAGGAUUCCCCUAGUAACGGCGAGUGAAGCGGGAAGAGCUCAAAUUUGAAAUCUUAAAGGGUUUCCCUUUACGAAUUGUAGUUUAAAGAAGUGUUUUCUGUUGAGGUUUUGGUAAAAGUUCUUUGGAAUAGGACAUCAUAGAGGGUGAGAAUCCCGUAUUUGACCUUUACUUUCAACUUUGUGAUACACUUUCAAAGAGUCGGAUUGUUUGGGAAUGCAGUCCAAAAUGGGUGGUAAAUUUCAUCUAAAGCUAAAUAUUGGCGAGAGACCGAUAGCGAACAAGUACCGUGAGGGAAAGAUGAAAAGAACUUUGAAAAGAGAGUUAAACAGUACGUGAAAUUGUCAAAAGGGAAGCGUUUGACACCAGUGUUGUUUUUCUGAAAAUCAAUUAAAGAACUGUUUAUGCUAAGUUGUUUAGACUUUAUCAGCUAACUGUUUAGUUUUGAGCUUUUCUUUAAUGCACUUUUCAGUUAACAAGUCAACAUCAAUUUCUUUUGCUGUAAAAAAGCUUGAGGAAGGUGGCUUGAGAUUCGUCUUAAGUGUUUAUAGCCUCUUGCCUAUGCAGUCGGAGAGAUUGAGGUCUGCAGCGUAGAUCCUUCGGGGCUAAAUGCAUUUGUGCUAAGUUAUAGCAUUUCAUAGACAACUUGUUGACUAUGAUUUGUCUUGUAGCUUACUCGCUUAUGUUAUUUUACCUACGCUUAGGAUGUUGAGUCGUAGAGCACGCAG